RNAcentral lists this ribosomal RNA (427 nucleotides) under uncultured Ralstonia sp. RNAcentral describes it as "bacterial SSU rRNA". It matches the Rfam family "Bacterial small subunit ribosomal RNA", at positions 355 to 774 of the family's 1533-position model. The record is from RNAcentral. Lineage: Bacteria; Pseudomonadati; Pseudomonadota; Betaproteobacteria; Burkholderiales; Burkholderiaceae.
UGGGGAAUUUUGGACAAUGGGCGAAAGCCUGAUCCAGCAAUGCCGCGUGUGUGAAGAAGGCCUUCGGGUUGUAAAGCACUUUUGUCCGGAAAGAAAUGGCUCUGGUUAAUACCUGGGGUCGAUGACGGUACCGGGAGAAUAAGGACCGGCUAACUACGUGCCAGCAGCCGCGGUAAUACGUAGGGUCCAAGCGUUAAUCGGAAUUACUGGGCGUAAAGCGUGCGCAGGCGGUUGUGCAAGACCGAUGUGAAAUCCCCGAGCUUAACUUGGGAAUUGCAUUGGUGACUGCACGGCUAGAGUGUGUCAGAGGGGGGUAGAAUUCCACGUGUAGCAGUGAAAUGCGUAGAGAUGUGGAGGAAUACCGAUGGCGAAGGCAGCCCCCUGGGAUAACACUGACGCUCAUGCACGAAAGCGUGGGGAGCAAACA